RNAcentral lists this unclassified non-coding RNA (389 nucleotides) under uncultured fungus. RNAcentral's name for it is "sequence contains ITS1". The stretch from base 1 to 105 matches the Rfam family "5.8S ribosomal RNA", at positions 50 to 154 of the family's 154-position model. The record is from RNAcentral. Lineage: Eukaryota; Fungi.
GAAUUGCGAAAAGUAAUGUGAAUUGCAGAAUUCCGUGAAUCAUCGAAUCUUUGAACGCAUAUUGCGCUCUCUGGCCCUCCAGAGAGCAUGCCUGUUUGAGUAUCAGUAACAACCUCAUGUCCCGUAAGGGGGAUGGUAGUGAGCGAGUCCAGCUUGGCCACGAAAGUAGGCCUUUGUGCUGGUCGCUUGAAAUGAAGCGUGUGCUGUGUUUGUCACUGCUCCUCCGCAAAGGCGUACCAGUUCUCCUCGGAGAUCCACUUACGCCGGUGUUUGCAAGAGAGCCUUUGUGCUGACUGAUGGCCGCGUGAAAACCUUUCCAAGAUGCUACGCAGUAUGCAAGGCAUCUUGAUCUUGAUCUCAAAUCAGGCAAGACUACCCGCUGAAUUUAA